Molecule: non-coding RNA, 28 nt
Filed under: Rattus norvegicus (Norway rat)
Lineage: Eukaryota; Metazoa; Chordata; Mammalia; Rodentia; Muridae
Source: RNAcentral
GAGUUUCGUUUGUGUGGCAGAGGGUUCC